Syngnathus typhle (broad-nosed pipefish) is the source of this 1838-nucleotide long non-coding RNA. RefSeq lists it as uncharacterized. The record is from RefSeq and is a predicted model, not a curated record. The transcript has 7 exons. Lineage: Eukaryota; Metazoa; Chordata; Actinopteri; Syngnathiformes; Syngnathidae.
CAGAGCUCAGGAUGGCCCAAAACGCAGAAUAAUAACGCUUCGGGAACUUUUAAUAAAGUGGCGUUCCUUAAAAGUUUGCUAGGUGCAAAGGUGCGCCCCGGUCAGAGCUCAGGAUGGCCCAAAACACGAAUAAUAACGCUUCGGAACUCCUGCUUAAUCAUCUUUUAGAAAGACUUCGCUCUCAAUUGGAGCAUAUUCUGGGACGCAUGCCUCUUGACCUGGACUUCUUAGAGUUCACUUGCACACAAGAACUUGUGUUAUUAAAUGCUGUAUCCAGUCAAGUAACUGUUUGUCCAGCUAUUCUAGACUCACUGACACAGCUACACAGUCUUAUCAAUCUGGAAAAAGACAAAAGGGAGCAACACAUUGCAGUUGUGCAGUUUGAGCAAGGACCGGCUGGGCGACAAAGAAUGGUCAUAUCCCCAGAGUACCUUAGCAAACUUUUGGAACUUAAUCUGUCUGUUCCAUGUAUAGCUAAACUUUUGGGGAUGUCCAGGCGCACAGUAUACAGACGCAUGGCUGAGUCUCAGUUAAGGGAUUAUACAGCACUAUGACUGAUGAAGAGUUAGAUCAGUGUGUAAGAGAGAUUAAGUCGAGGCAGCCUCACUCUGGAUAUCGGAUGGUGAAGGCCCUUCUGCAAGCCAGAGGACUGAGGGUGCAGUAUAACCGCGUCAGAGCCUCCAUGCACCGUGUUGACACCACUGGUGUCAUAAGCCGCAUGGUCCACGUAGGAUGUAUCGCUCGACGGACCUACUCAGUUCCAGGACCCCAGUCUUUGAUGCACAUAGAUACAAACCAUAAAUUAAUUCGGUAAAUUCUUAUCAAGCAAUGUUUUUGGCAAAAUGCAUACAUUCAAAGUGUGUUUGCAAAGUAUUUGGUAGUUAUCAGUAUGCUCCAUAACACAUUUUUUAUACUGCUGCUUUCAUGUUACUGUAUAUGUACCAUCACAGCUAAGCUCCUUAAAAAUGGUAUACACCUGGUGUAUUACGUUUAGAAACUGUGUUUAGAACACUGGCAGUAUGUUAUAUGCAGCUGAAUUUUUUUCUUAAAUUCUCUUUCAGCUACAACAUCGUUGUCUUUGGUGGUAUUGACGGUUUUUCCCGUAAGAUAAUGUAUCUUGGUGCAGCCUCCAACAACCUUGCAUCAACCACCCUGGCUUUCUUCCUAGAAUCUGUUGAGAAGUUUGGUUUUCCUCUCAGGGUUCGUGCUGAUCAGGGAGUGGAAAAUGUUGACGUUGCACGCAGCAUGUUUACAGUCCGUGGCCCUGGGAAGAGCAGCUUUAUAUCCGGGAAGAGUGUUCACAACCAAAGGAUGACCUAGGUACUUUUCGUGAUGGUUGGGACAAUCAUCCGCUGAGGACAGAAAGCAACAUGACCCCCAACCAGCUGUGGGAGCUGGGUCGUACACAUUACCCAAUUCCAGGACUAGAUAACACAGAGGGCAUGGAUAUUCUUGACAUUGAGUGGGAGAACAGCGGACUUCCAUUUGAUGACCAGUCGAGCAUCAUUGUUCCAGACACAGCAUCACCCCUGACCGAUGGACAAAUGACAGCUUUAAGAGAUGCAGUUAACCCGAGAGCUGCAUCCCAGUCCUAUGGCUGCGAUACUUACAUUGCUGCCGUUCAAUUUUGUGAGCAGUUUGUCUGAACUGAUCAGAAUGAUUUGAGUUAAGAGACAAUAAAUUUUUUUAACCUGAAUUGUAAUGUUAUUCCUUUGUCAAGAGAACGAAAGUUCUGUUAAUAUUUAAGUAACACUUUAGUCCCCCUGUUUGUGUGUAACAUAGCCCAGACAGACAUUUCAUUAUUUAACUCAAAACCUGUUUGAGUCUGAAGUUUUAGU